This 649-nucleotide ribosomal RNA is filed under the name Streptomyces bingchenggensis. Its description in RNAcentral is "bacterial SSU rRNA". It matches the Rfam family "Bacterial small subunit ribosomal RNA", at positions 121 to 784 of the family's 1533-position model. The record is from RNAcentral. Lineage: Bacteria; Bacillati; Actinomycetota; Actinomycetes; Kitasatosporales; Streptomycetaceae.
GCAAUCUGCCCUGCACUCUGGGACAAGCCCUGGAAACGGGGUCUAAUACCGGAUAUGACCUGGUGAGGCAUCUCAUCGGGUGGAAAGCUCCGGCGGUGCAGGAUGAGCCCGCGGCCUAUCAGCUUGUUGGUGGGGUGAUGGCCUACCAAGGCGACGACGGGUAGCCGGCCUGAGAGGGCGACCGGCCACACUGGGACUGAGACACGGCCCAGACUCCUACGGGAGGCAGCAGUGGGGAAUAUUGCACAAUGGGCGAAAGCCUGAUGCAGCGACGCCGCGUGAGGGAUGACGGCCUUCGGGUUGUAAACCUCUUUCAGCAGGGAAGAAGCGCAAGUGACGGUACCUGCAGAAGAAGCGCCGGCUAACUACGUGCCAGCAGCCGCGGUAAUACGUAGGGCGCAAGCGUUGUCCGGAAUUAUUGGGCGUAAAGAGCUCGUAGGCGGCUUGUCACGUCGGAUGUGAAAGCCCGGGGCUUAACCCCGGGUCUGCAUUCGAUACGGGCAGGCUAGAGUUCGGUAGGGGAGAUCGGAAUUCCUGGUGUAGCGGUGAAAUGCGCAGAUAUCAGGAGGAACACCGGUGGCGAAGGCGGAUCUCUGGGCCGAUACUGACGCUGAGGAGCGAAAGCGUGGGGAGCGAACAGGAUUAGAUA